GUCCAUGUCAUCCAUGUCAUGUCUAUGUCAUCCAUGUCAUGUCCAUGUCAUCCAUGUCAUGUCCAUGUCAUCCAGGUCAUCCAUGUCCAUGUCAUCCAUGUCAUCCAUGUCAUGUCCAUGUCAUCCAUGUCAUGUCCAUGUCAUCCAUGUCAUCCAUGUCAUGUCCAUGUCAUCCAUGUCCAUGUCAUCCAUGUCAUCCUUGUCAUGACGCAUUCAGAUUUGUCCCUGAAUUACAACCAUUAAAGUUGUCAUUUUUUUGUGUUAUGUCAUCCUAAUAUACACUAUAUCACCCAUUUCUUAGGACAUGUUAUGAAUAGCCCAAAAUGCAUAUGUAUAUAGAUUUUUUUUUAAAUUAUUAUAAAUUCUAUUAUAUUCAUCUUGGUCAUGUUAUACUCAUUUUGGGUGCUUAAAAUCUCACAGAGGAUCUUUAAGUCUAAAUUCUAUUUAGUGAUGCAUUGACGUUAAUGCCAAAAGCCUACAGACUUACUGCCAUUUUCCAACUGGCUUGGAAAUCUUUCAGAUCUACAUGAACUGCCAAGUGCAGGGGUACUUAGGUAACUCUGACCUCAUUCACCAAAUUAAUGUCCAAUAGUAUUAGAAAGGUAUAGAUUUGAUAUUUUUGAUUAAAAUAGGUACAGACUGCUUUGUUGUGCUCAAGUUUGAGGUCAUAGCCUUAAAUAUAUAGUACCAACAUAAUACAUGGGGGAAAAAAACAUUCAGAACAGACAUUUUUUCCCAUCCAACAAAAGUAAAGCAGGUGAAGGUUAGAAUUACUGAAAUACUUUCUAAAUAUAGUAAGAAUCAAAUUAUAUAAUAUAAGGAACGUACAAUAAUAUUUUGUUUCAUUGGAUGGUUAUUGCAGUUUUCAUACUGGAUUUGGUCUUAUCACAUUUAAAUAGUAUAUAUCUAAGAACAUACUUGUGUAUGUGGGUGUGUGUGCCUAGAAAGAGUAUAUGCAACAGCCUGUUGACAGUGUCAGGACUAACCAAAAUAAUGAAAAGGAUAUACCUGACCUUUGACCUAGAGGAACAGGAAGAAGUCACGGACCUUGGCGGACCUUGGCUGAGACCUGUCCAUAAACAACACCUAAUCAGUUUAUAAAAAGUGUGUAGAUGUUCAGAACAAUCUGUCAAGCGAAACUCAGAGACUUGUCUGAAAUCAUAGUAACAGUCCUUAUGCUAUUUUUAUCUCACUCGAGUGGCAUUUUGAAGGGUCCCUGAUGAAUUUGGUUUCCUGGCACAAAAAAGUUGGUCCAAGACAGCAUGUCAUCACCAUCAGUAUCAGAUUAAACCAAUCCGAAUCCGCCUCUUCAUCUGUCAGUCACAAAUGCACAGCCAGCAUCCCAAUGGUAUCCUAUUCCCUCUAAUGGGCUACUUAUGACCAGGGCCAUGGCAACAUAUUUCCUUUCUAAUGCACUACUACACAACAGCUUAAGGGUACAGAGUUGUCAGGGACAGGUUGCCAGGGACAGGUUGUCAGGGACAGGAUGUCAGGGACAGGUUGCCAGGGACAGGUUGUCAGGGACAGGUUGUCAGGGACAGGUUGCCAGGGACAGGUUGUCAGGGACAGGUUGUCAGGAACAGGAUGUCAGGGACAGGUUGCCAGGGACAGGUUGCCAGUGACUUUCAAAUGUUGAACAACACACUUCACUUCAUGAUUGUUUAACAUUUCUAUGUUGUUGAGAAACAAUGUUGUGACUGGGAAUGUCCUGGAAACAGGCAAUAUUACUGUCAUACAGCAGCUAUAUUAUAUGUAGAGGUGAGACAACACGCAGAAAGACACUAAGUCAAACAUGUUAGCUUCUUAUUGGCAAUACAACAUUGACAAUGGAAUAGUCGGGACUAGGUGAAAACCAAGAAGAGAUUGAAGUGGACAAAAAGAAAUGGCCAAAUGUAAUUGCCACACAAACUCAACAACCAGAUGUCAUAGUCUUUGUCAGUGAUGUGCUCCUGGGGAAGGACUGUGAUCAGAAGUCGGCCCAGGCUUUUCUACCACACCAUCCCAUUUUAUUCCUUUACGUCUUGAUUCUCUGUUGAAUAAUGAUCAUGUUGUUAGACAGACCCACUGGUCUAAAAAUGGAACAGCACAUCUGGCAUGAACUGCCCAGUGGUCAGCCCUGACUCUAGUCAAUGUUCAUGCAACAUCAUGCUACAGCUGUGAUGUACUAACGACUAAGACCAACCUUUUUACAGUAAAGCUUUUCUGAAACUGAAUCAUAUUAUUGUGACAAUAUCCGCAACAUCAGUUUGCUCUCACACAGACUGCUGUAGUAGUUCUGACAUUUGGGUAAACACAGGUCACUAUUUGAUGCUGCAUUUCCCUGUAUAGGUCUCAGUAAGGCAUUCCAUUGCAGUAAUGUGGUUGAGAAUUCAAUAGGGUUUCAGAUUAGGAAACCUCUAUCAGUGAGUAGAUUAAUAUAAUCAAUCCACCAGUUACUUUUCAUCAAGGAAACCAUAAAAUGAUGUAUGGACAUAA
Long non-coding RNA from Esox lucius (northern pike), 2475 nucleotides. NCBI's taxonomy places the organism in Eukaryota, Metazoa, Chordata, Actinopteri, Esociformes, Esocidae. The record is from Ensembl.